CUACGGAGGGUGCAAGCGUUAUUCGGAAUCACUGGGCGUAAAGGACGCGUAGGCGGGUUGGCAAGUCAGAUGUGAAAUCCUACAGCUUAACUGUAGAACUGCAUUUGAAACUGCUAACCUAGAGUCUGGGAGGGGGAGAUGGAAUUAGUGGUGUAGGGGUAAAAUCCGUAGAUAUCACUAGGAAUACCGAAAGCGAAGGCGAUCUCCUGGAACAUAACUGACGCUAAGGCGUGAAAGCGUGGGGAGCAAACAGGAUUAGAAACCCCAGUAGUCC
This 274-nucleotide ribosomal RNA is filed under the name uncultured bacterium. RNAcentral's name for it is "partial 16S ribosomal RNA". It matches the Rfam family "Bacterial small subunit ribosomal RNA", at positions 523 to 796 of the family's 1533-position model. The record is from RNAcentral.